GGGGUCAAUGGGUGAUCAAGAAGGCCCAUGGCCUAGAUUGGCGACCUCCAUUGCACUUAGGAGGGGCGCCUGUCUAAGGUCGGCCCAAGUGGUCGAGCCUACGUCAUAAUUUGUGGUAGAGGGGGCCUGCGUUCGCGCGGCCCCUGCCCAAUUCUAGUUAAGAAGUCUUUUGCGCAUUUAAAAUUAUGAACCCUCAUAAGGAAACUGUAUUAAAUCUUUCAAGUUUUUGAUAACUCCCCAAUUGUACUCACAUGUGUUCUUCAAUUAUUAUUCAAUUAAUCACCCAUGUCGUUCUCAAUUGAUGCUUUGGCAAUGUCAGGAGCAGAUUACCAUAAUGUUACCGUACGUUUCCAAGAUCUUGACUGGGCGGAUUUUGAGCUGCCACCACCCCAUUUGUUAUCUGAAAAUGAGGAUGACGAGGAACAAGCUUGGAGAACAGUAGGCUGCAGCCUCUCCAUUGGACCUCGAUUACAUAAUUUCCAGGAUCAAUCAGAAACUUCUCAAAGUGGAAAGAAAAUCACCGCUAAUUAAAGGGUGAUAUCCAUGGGAAUACAGCAGAGAAUCAUAGAUCAAUUUAUGCAGUUUUGGAUGGAUUGUUUAUUUAAAGCAUAAUUCUUCAAUUAUUUCAGACCAGAAAUGCAGCUUGCAUUUACUUGUUAUUUUUAUUGUAGGGAGGGGCUUUGUUAGUUGCAUCUACUUCGAGUCACUGUAAAAAUGGUAGAUUUGUUGUUUAAAAUGCACUCUCUGAGAUUUCA
Molecule: long non-coding RNA, 755 nt
Filed under: Olea europaea subsp. europaea
Lineage: Eukaryota; Viridiplantae; Streptophyta; Magnoliopsida; Lamiales; Oleaceae
Rfam family: U1 spliceosomal RNA (bases 1-147)
Source: RNAcentral